GCCCCGCCUCGCCGCCCUUCCCCCGCCGCUCUCGGCUCUGCCCCCUCCCCGCCCCGACCCCGCCUCCAGGCCCAUCUCCGCCCCUCCCCCUCCCCCUCCCCCUCUGCCCUCCAGCCCUCCCCGCUCGGCGCCCCGCCCAGCCCCUCCCCUUCACCCUCCCCGCCCAGUGUCCGCGCGGCGCGGGGAGGAGGAGUCAGGACGCGCGGACACCUGCGGGACGCGGGGCGCGGAGCUCGGCGGUCGCGGGAGGGCAGCACCACGGGCGGCAGGUGCGCGCGGAGCGGGGAGGGGCGCGGGGGGCGGGGAGGGGUCUCGGGGCGCCGGGAGGGGGCUCGGUGGGCGCUGCCGGAGGAGGAGGAGGGUCGGGCGGGGCGGAGUCGUCUCCCCCGGGUCCCUCAGCCCGGCUGGGGACAGACGCUGGGACCAGGCUCGCGGUCAGGGCGGCCUGGGAUCGGCCCCCGCGGCUCCUGCUCAGGGUCCUGCUCUGGGGAACUUCGAGGCCUCCGGUCUGGGGGGCUCGGAAUGGGAGUGGAGGAGCCCCCGCGAGCAUCCAGGCGUCCAGGCUCCCUCCGCAUUGUCACGGGGCUCCUGUCACACCCGGCAGGUGUCACCCCCGGGACGGGCUUCUCCCGAUGUUCCCGUGGGCACCUCCUAGGGCCACCCCGGGAGCUCUGCCCACUCCUUCCUGCCAGGGCGCUGGGGACCAGGGUCGGGGUGGCUUCUAGGGCUGGAGGGGAGGGAACCUGGGGUCGUCCGCACCUGCAUCUUUCAUCUGCCUGUCCCAGGCGGAGGGCAGGAAGGCGCACCGCGGGCUGGGCCGGCCUCUCCCAGGAGCUCCCAGGAGCUCCUUUCCACCUGCCGUGCUUGCUGUGGGCCCUCUGUGGCUCUUCCCCAGCUGCGGGCCCCCGGCCUGGCUUCAGACCCUUGUAUAGGAUUCUGCCGGAGGGCUGGGCUCGAGAGGACUCCAGAGCCCAGGCAGGCUCAUCCCAGGAAACUCCCGCCCGACA
This 1007-nucleotide long non-coding RNA is filed under the name Callithrix jacchus (white-tufted-ear marmoset). RNAcentral describes it as "lncRNA (ENSCJAG00000080505.1)". Lineage: Eukaryota; Metazoa; Chordata; Mammalia; Primates; Cebidae. The record is from RNAcentral.